AGAGAGAAGAGUAAGCUUUCAUGGGGGUUGCACCUGCAGGAGCAGCUACCACUCCAGGGCUGGAGAACCCUAAGGAAGAGUUUUGAAGGAGGGUUCCAGAGCCUGUGACCCAGACAUCUGAGGAGGGGGCUCAACUCAGCGGGAGCUGGGGUCUCCGGGUGUGAAGAAAGGACUCCUGCACCCAGACCUCUGCGGAAGGGGCACCUGCCAGCUGGUGCUGGGGUCUCUCAGGCUUCAUUUGCAUCAGAGGUGGGACAGCUUGUUACAUAUCACCCUUGGCUGUGAUCAUAGCCUCAGAUGCUUCUCAACUGGAGCAAACUCAAGCAGGCUGUUUGAAAACAUUUUGAAAACCUCCCAGCCAGAAACCUUGUUCCAGCAGUGCAGAGCAGCUCAGGCCCAGAUUCUGCCCUGUGGGCGGAGAAACGGUAGCUGGACUAGAAAACCUCAGGUAGAUUCUAGCACCAAGCUCGGUUCUCAGAACUACAUUUCCCACAAACUUGGACUACACCUCCCAUGA
Molecule: long non-coding RNA, 517 nt
Organism: Homo sapiens (human)
Lineage: Eukaryota; Metazoa; Chordata; Mammalia; Primates; Hominidae
Source: Ensembl